Molecule: ribosomal RNA, 190 nt
Filed under: Escherichia coli
Lineage: Bacteria; Pseudomonadati; Pseudomonadota; Gammaproteobacteria; Enterobacterales; Enterobacteriaceae
Also listed under: 1 other name
Description: partial 23S ribosomal RNA
Rfam family: Bacterial large subunit ribosomal RNA
Source: RNAcentral
GGUUAAGCGACUAAGCGUACACGGUGGAUGCCCUGGCAGUCAGAGGCGAUGAAGGACGUGCUAAUCUGCGAUAAGCGUCGGUAAGGUGAUAUGAACCGUUAUAACCGGCGAUUUCCGAAUGGGGAAACCCAGUGUGAUUCGUCACACUAUCAUUAACUGAAUCCAUAGGUUAAUGAGGCGAACCGGGGGA